GACGAACGCUGGCGGCGUGCCUAAUACAUGCAAGUAGAACGCUGAAGGAGGAGCUUGCUUCUCUGGAUGAGUUGCGAACGGGUGAGUAACGCGUAGGUAACCUGCCUGGUAGCGGGGGAUAACUAUUGGAAACGAUAGCUAAUACCGCAUAAGAGUAGAUGUUGCAUGUCAUUUGCUUAAAAGGUGCAAUUGCAUCACUACCAGAUGGACCUGCGUUGUAUUAGCUAGUUGGUGGGGUAACGGCUCACCAAGGCGACGAUACAUAGCCGACCUGAGAGGGUGAUCGGCCACACUGGGACUGAGACACGGCCCAGACUCCUACGGGAGGCAGCAGUAGGGAAUCUUCGGCAAUAGACGGAAGUCUGACCGAGCAACGCCGCGUGAGUGAAGAAGGUUUUCGGAUCGUAAAGCUCUGUUGUAAGAGAAGAACGAGUGUGAGAGUGGAAAGUUCACACUGUGACGGUAUCUUACCAGAAAGGGACGGCUAACUACGUG
Molecule: ribosomal RNA, 495 nt
Filed under: uncultured bacterium
Lineage: Bacteria
Description: partial 16S ribosomal RNA
Rfam family: Bacterial small subunit ribosomal RNA
Source: RNAcentral